RNAcentral lists this ribosomal RNA (132 nucleotides) under uncultured bacterium. RNAcentral describes it as "partial 16S ribosomal RNA". It matches the Rfam family "Bacterial small subunit ribosomal RNA", at positions 223 to 354 of the family's 1533-position model. The record is from RNAcentral.
GUGUGGACCUGCGGUGCAUUAGCUAGUUGGUAAGGUAACGGCUUACCAAGGCAAUGAUGCAUAGCCGAGUUGAGAGACUGAUCGGCCACAUUGGGACUGAGACACGGCCCAAACUCCUACGGAAGGCAGCAG